AGCAACACAUUCAGCCACGCAGCUCCUCCUAGAGAUCUCGCGUGCACUUGGGAGCUGGCUCAAGUCCACAGGCUUGGGGCCAGAACAAACCGUGGGUGUUGUUGGCUACGGUUCUUGAACAAUCCCCACAGCCAGCUGAACAUUCACACAGAGAAGCAGGCUCAGCGGCACCCGCUUGUGCUACACCGCAGAAGAAGAGUGGCGGGUGUUCAGGGGAGAAACACCCAAACCAGGGGCCCUUCCGGUUCCUGGAAGGGCACCUGGUCAAGGAGACGUCACGAAAGACCAGCAGCCUAAGGAAGAGGUUUCUUCGCGACCCGGGAAACGGCAGCGACUCACGAAGUGCACUAGGAAGAAGGGAAGCUAAGCUGAAAAUGCCGGUGCAGAGUCAAGCAUUAAACACGGGCAAGCCUAGACACGGUCGUCGAGGUCAGCUUCCUUCCGGCAGCAUCUUUCCUACAGAGUCAGGAGCAGGUGCCUCUGUGGAGACAGACCGGAUGAGGACAGGAGGGAGAAGCCACCGUCCCACAGUGCACACACUCUUGGGAUUCACAAGUUUCGAAGAAGCAGCACAGAGGAGCCGUGGGGGGUACAAGUCCUUACCGCCCCUAGACCUUCGGUCUUCCUAAAGCGCUAUUCCUUAUGAAUGUAUCAGAAAAGUCGUUGUUGGUACCCACCGCCUCCCUCCAGAAUGCUGCCGCCAUCUUUAACCGCCACACCCCAUUGAUUCUCUUCAAUACAUGCUCUCUGUCGUCAGCCAACACAAUGUUUUUUUUUUUUUUAAUUGGUCACCUUUAGCUUCAAGCCAUGCAAAAGCUCCAGGCGGAGGACCUGGCUCUAGUGUUCUUGCCUCAAGGUCUCCCUAGCACCCUGGAAUAGAGUCCAGUCACCCAAACCUUCAGAAGCACGCAUGCAGGCAGGCUCAGAGAGCGUGGCCUGAGAGACUGUUGGCUACUCAGUGUCGACAGCUGAUGGGGGGGAAGUCCUUCUGUGUAUAUAGCUGAUAAAUAAAGCACUGUUGGAAGACA
Long non-coding RNA from Mesocricetus auratus (golden hamster), 1028 nucleotides. RefSeq lists it as uncharacterized. The record is from RefSeq and is a predicted model, not a curated record. NCBI's taxonomy places the organism in Eukaryota, Metazoa, Chordata, Mammalia, Rodentia, Cricetidae. The transcript has 2 exons.